This 297-nucleotide small nuclear RNA is filed under the name Nannospalax galili (Upper Galilee mountains blind mole rat). RNAcentral's name for it is "7SK RNA (ENSNGAG00000002271.1)". It matches the Rfam family "7SK RNA". From Rfam's summary of the family: 7SK was discovered as an abundant small nuclear RNA in the mid-70s but a possible function has only recently been suggested. Two independent studies have found that 7SK RNA binds the CDK9/cyclin T complex (known as elongation factor P-TEFb). P-TEFb activates transcription by phosphorylating the C-terminal domain of RNA polymerase II. Lineage: Eukaryota; Metazoa; Chordata; Mammalia; Rodentia; Spalacidae. The record is from Rfam by way of RNAcentral.
GGAUGUGAGGGCAAUCUGUCACCCCAUUGGUCACCAGGGCUGAUUCAGCUCAUCUGGCUGGCUAGGUGGUAUUCCCCUUCCUCUCUCAGUGCUUCAUGUGCAUGUGUCGCAGUCUCAUCCCCCUCCUGCAAGCUGCGAUCUUGGUGGAAGAGGAUGUCCUCCUCCAAUAGAGGAAGACUGGUCUUCAGUCCAGAGUAUACCUGCAUUCCCCUUCUAGAACCUCCAAACAAGCUUUCAAAAGACCAAAACAAAACAGUUAAUUUAAAGUAGCCAAGCAUCAUGGUGCACGCCAUUAAU